GCUCAAGAGGUCCACCAAAUGUUUUUUGGGACUGUAGCUUAGGUACUACCUUAAGGGCCCUUAGGUACUACCUUAGUGGCCUUGAGGUACUACCUUAAGGGACCCUAGGUACUACCUUAAGGUAAACUUGAACUCAACUUCUCCCAAGCCUCGGGUCUUCCUUGGUGACCCUUAGAGCAUCCCAUUAUGUGGUUCUCUUCAGUGUUGAAGUGGUCCACCAAGGGUUUUUUGGGACUGUAGCUUAGGUACUACCUUAAGGGCCCUUAGGUACUACCUUAGUGGCCUUGAGGUACUACCUUAAGGGACCCUAGGUACUACCUUAAGGUAAACUUGAACUCAACCUCUCCCAAGCCUCGGGUCUUCCUUGGUGACCCUUAGAGCAUCCCAUUAUGUGGUUCUCUUCAGUGUUGAAGUGGUCCACCAAUGGUUUUUUGGGACUGUAGCUUAGGUACUACCUUAAGGGCCCUUAGGUACUACCUUAAGGGCCCUUAGGUACUACCUCAGUGGCCUUGAGGUAUUACCUUAAGGGACCCUAGGUACUACCUUAAGGUAAACUUGAACUCAACCUCUCCCAAGCCUCGGGUCUUUCUUGGUGACCCUUGGACCAUCCCAGUAUGUGGUUCUCUUCAUUCCUCAAGUGGUCCACCAAUGGUUUCUUGGGACUUUAGCUUAGGUACUACCUUUAGGGCCCUUAGGUACUACCUUAGUGGCCUUGAGGUACUACCUUAAGGGACCUUAGGUACUACCUUAAGGGACCUUAGGUACUACCUUAAGGUAAACUUGAACUCUACCUCUCCCAAGCCUCGGGCCUUCCUUUGUGACCCUUAGACUAUGUCAUUAUGUGGUUCUCUUGUGUGCUCAAGUGGUCCACCUUUGGUUUUUUGGGACUGUACCUUAGGUACUACCUUAAGAGCCUUUAGGUACUACCUUAAUGGCCCUUAGGUACUACCUUAAGGGACCUCAAGUACUACCUUAUCUAAAGUUUGGUUUUUUGUGACUGGCUUGUUGGUUCAAGUGGGUUUUCCCUAUUUUAUGCUGUCUCUCUCGGUUUGGUACUUCUAUCAUGCUACAUUGAACUUCCCAUGUCAAAAUUGAUGAUUUUGUGAAACCUUCUACACAUACCAGAUAUAGGAUUCUUAGUGCCUUAUUUGUGUUCUAAUACAGAUAUCUAUUCAUAUUUGCAUCUACUUGGUGAAUUUAUUCUAUCAUAUGGUAUCAUGUAAGACUUGGCUUUCUUGCUAAAUUAUUUCAUUAAUUAUUU
Molecule: long non-coding RNA, 1261 nt
Filed under: Vitis vinifera (wine grape)
Lineage: Eukaryota; Viridiplantae; Streptophyta; Magnoliopsida; Vitales; Vitaceae
Description: long non-coding RNA (VVIN_LNC006157)
Source: RNAcentral